UUGCAUCAAAUUAAGAUACACAAAUGGCCA
This 30-nucleotide non-coding RNA is filed under the name Homo sapiens (human). Lineage: Eukaryota; Metazoa; Chordata; Mammalia; Primates; Hominidae. The record is from RNAcentral.